CGUGCAAAUCGAUCGAUAGACUUGGGUAUAGGGGCGAAAGACUAAUCGAACCAUCUAGUAGCUGGUUCCUUCCGAAGUUUCCCUCAGGAUAGCUGGAACUCUUGCAGUUAUAUUCGGUAAAGCUAAUGAUUAGAGGCCUUGGGGACGUAAUGUCCUCAACCUAUUCUCAAACUUUCAAUGGAUAUGGCGUCGCAGUUUCUUUAGUGAACUGCGGCGUGAAUGCGAGUUCCAAGUGGGCCAUUUUUGGUAAGCAGAACUGGCGCUGUGGGAUGAACCAAACGUGGAGUUAAGGUGCCUAACUUCUCGCUUAUGAGACCCCAUAAAAGGUGUUGGUUGAUAUUGACAGCAGGACGGUGGCCAUGGAAGUCGGUACCCGCUAAGGAGUGUGUAACAACUCACCUGCCGAAUCAACUAGCCCUGAAAAUGGAUGGCGCUUAAGCGAGAGACCUAUACUCCGCCGUCGCGGCAUGUGCGUUGUCUAGCGCCAGGUCGCGACGAGUAGGAAGGACGUGGCGGUUGCGUUGAAGGCUAUGAGCGUAGGCUCGGCUGGAGCUUCCGUCAGUGCAGAUCGUAAUGGUAGUAGCAAAUAUUCAAGUUCGAUCCUUGAAGACUGAAGUGGAGAACGGUUCCACGUGAACAGUAGUUGGAUGUGGGUCAGUCGAUCCUAAGGUACUGGCGAAAGCCCUUGUAUCAUCGGUGGCGAAAAGCUUGCUUUUUGUCCCCGCCCGUCGAAAGGGAAUAGGGUUAAUAUUCCCUAACUGAGAUGCAAAGAUUGUGUUCUUCGGAGCACAAGCGCGGUAACGCGUUCGAACUUGGUAAGUCGCUCAGAGACCGAGCUAGAGUUUUCUUCUCUAGUUAAGGAACGGACUCCCUGGAAUUGGUUCAGCCAGAGAUGGGGACGUUGUUUCCGAAAAGCACCGCGGUUUCUGUGGUGUCUCGUGCUCUCUGAACGGCCCUUUAAACACCAAGGGAGGCUAUUAAUUUGCACUCAAUCGUACCGAUAUCCGCAUUAGGUCUCCAAGGUGAACAGCCUCUAGUCGAUAGAAUAAUGUAGGUAAGGGAAGUCGGCAAACUAGAUCCGUAACUUCGGGAAAAGGAUUGGCUCCAGUGGUCGGAACGGUUGGCCAGUUGGUUGAUGCUUGUCCGGCGCUGUUCUGUCUGCUUGAUGCUUUCGGGCUGAUGGCGGCCUAGUGAUAGUGCUUGCUUGUUGACGCUUUCUGGUGUGUGCUUUGACCUCGGUCUUAGUAUCCUGAUCGUUCAUCUAAACGACUAAACUGGAACCGGUACGGACUCAGGGAAUCCGACUGUCUAAUUAA
This 1316-nucleotide non-coding RNA is filed under the name Caenorhabditis japonica. RNAcentral describes it as "Eukaryotic large subunit ribosomal RNA". It matches the Rfam family "Eukaryotic large subunit ribosomal RNA", at positions 890 to 2149 of the family's 3401-position model. The record is from Rfam by way of RNAcentral. Lineage: Eukaryota; Metazoa; Nematoda; Chromadorea; Rhabditida; Rhabditidae.